Molecule: unclassified non-coding RNA, 396 nt
Filed under: fungal sp.
Lineage: Eukaryota; Fungi
Description: partial internal transcribed spacer region
Rfam family: Eukaryotic small subunit ribosomal RNA (bases 1-46)
Source: RNAcentral
AAGUCGUAACAAGGUUUCCGUAGGUGAACCUGCGGAAGGAUCAUUAACACGUAUCCACGUAUCAACCCCUUGUGCUUUUUUACGUUUUGGUGACCCUGUCUUGAAUGGAACCCUCUUAGGGCUGGUGCGGACUUGAAUGGAAAAGAACUGGCGACAGUUUUUUUUGUCUGCGCGGCUGUCGUUGACGCGAGUCAACUUCGGGGUUUUAUUCUCCCGUACAGGGAUUUUUUACAUGUAAACCAUUCUACAUGGCCUUUAUACAACUAUAAACCCCUUUGUAACUUAUCUUGCUAACGCAAUUUGAUUUCUGAAUGAAAGCUAACUUGUUUAGCUGAAGUUUGGACUUCAUAUUUACGAAAUGCUUGACAACUCUUAGCAACGGAUAUCUUGGUUCUC